GCUUUAGUCUCCUAGGACUUCCCUGAGUUCCAAAGAACAGAAUCAAGCAAUUACUAAUUAGGGAGGUGAGGGAAUGCAGAAAAAAAGGAAAAGCAGUCUAGAAACAAUAGUUCAAUGGAUAAAACAGAGUCCUAGUUCUUCCUCAAGGGAUAUACAUAACUAUCUGAUGCAUAUUUUUGAGUUGUUCUUCAGAUACUGAGACCCCCCCCACACACACACACACAUACUCAGAUGGAGGAUGGUGACUACUUGCUGACCACAAUCAUGUAGAUCCUAGACUGGUUGCCACCAGAAGGUUGAUGAUUAAGAUUCCUGAAACACCAUCCUGUUACCUCAUCACAAACCAAUCAGAAGAAAGUCUGUGAGCUGCAACCCUCACCCCAAAUGUGGCCUUUAAAAACCCUCCCCUGAACACCAUCAGGGAGUUUAGGUCUUUUGAGCAUGAGCUGCCCAUUCUCCUUGCUUGGUGUCCUGCAAUAAAAGCUGCACUCUCCUUUACUGCAACCUGUUGUCAGUAGAUUGACUUUGCUGUACAUUGGGGGAAGAUUCAUUCUUAUCAUAGGAGAGGAGACUGGACGUCAAUACCACACCCAGAGCCCCAACUGAGGAACUUAAUUAAGAUAGGUAGAGGAAAUAUUUUUCCUCCCCUACACUGGACCUCUGAAAUUCACACAUGUGGUGUUUGAAUCACAGAAGACAAAACAGUAUCUGCCUGCAGAAGUCUGAUUAAGAAACUCACAUCCCUGAGUCCCAGUUUACAGCUCUGUCCGCAUGUUGAGCUUCGCCUACAUAUGUUGCUAAGGAAUUGGCAAUGGCCUGGGAAACUCAAAGCUACGGAUGGAUGAGUGGCGAGUCACAGGUGUGCUGGUGUCCAGGCCAGUGUGACAGGGACCGAUGGACCAGUGCCUUGGACAGCAUUGGUUUGGGCGGCCUUUGAGGACACGGUGGGGGCUGCAGACGGGGGGCUUUGGUCCAAGAGGGGCAACAAGAUGUGCAGUCCGGAGUGGUUGGCUGUCGGCAGAGAACAUGGGAGACGCCACCUCCUGGCAGCCCUGGAAGAGAUACAAGAGGGGGCCAGGAACCCCAGAAAGGAGGCAGCUGGCAUCCUUCUCCUUCACACGUGUCAGUGUUGGACCACAGUCUCUCUGUUGAUGGGACCACAUUUGUGCACACAAACCUUAGAAGGAAACCCCUGUGUGUUAUUGUGGCAAUUCUUGGAGAUUCCUGUUCACCCAUGAAUCUCUUUAUUGGGGACCAUUUCUGGACGUCAUGGUCACUGACCUCUUGAUUGAAAGGAAUUUUUCCCUUUUUUCCCAGAAGGAGGGAAAAGUUCCUCCUGAGGGGGAAAAAAUGGUGAAAAGAAAAUUCUAGUAAAUGGAAAAUGAUGUGGAAGGGCCCUCUUGUAUGUGAUAGGUAAGUGAAUGGGCUCUCAGGAUGAGGUCAGACUUUUGGGAAAUUAAGGAAGCCCCACGGAGGCGGGGUGGGGGAAGAGAGGUGGAAACAGGGCACAAAGCCGAAAACCCAGGACCCAAAGGCUUCCUGCCUGCCCCAUGGGUGACCAAGGGUGAUAAUUUCAAGCCUAAAUUUCGAGUGAUAUUCAAUUUUUAUAUGUGGGCUUAAUAUUUGCCAUAGUAUUUGCAGUUAAUUAUGUUUCCUUCUAUAUUUGUGUGUUAAGAUGAAUCACUGUUGUUCCAGGUAUUUUUCUGAGCUAAGUGGAGGGGGGCACGUGCGAAGUGAGGCCUGCGGAGGGGGUGGGAGUGGGUCUGGAGAAAAAUGAUUUUGCUUCCGUUUAUGGAUUUGUAUAUAUACUUGGAUAACUGCCUGUUCGACUAGGGCUCGUUUGGUUUGGUUUAUGGGUCUGCCUUGCUUCCCUGCCCACCCCCACACCCCUCCAGUGUCUUAGAACAAAUCUUCACCUUCCUCCAGGGCAGGUGUCUAUGUGUUGCAGGAAAAUGGGGCACGAGAGGAUGGUCACGUCCCAGGUCUCGGGCAAGUGACCGAUAGGGAUGGGAUAGGCUGCCAAGUGAGGGUCCUUGGCUUUGCACAAGUAAGAAUUCAAGACCGAGCCAUAGUAAAGUGAAAGCAAGUUUAUUUAGAGAGGUACACAUUCCAUAGACAGAAUGCUGUCCUUCUGAGAAGGGAGACUGGUCCCAGGGCAUAGGGUCGUUUUGGAAAGUGAUAGCGCCCUGAAAUAUGUUAGUUUUUAUGGGCUGGGUAAUUUCAUAGGCUGAUGAGUGGGAGGAUUAUUCCAACUAUUUUGGAGAAGGGGCAGGGAUUUCCAGGAAUUGGGCCACCCCCCCCUUUUGGCCUUUUAGGUAAACCUCAGAACUGUCAUGGCACCUGUGCCUGUGUCACUUAGCUUAUGCUAAUGUAUUACAAUGAGCGUAUAAUGAGGCUCGAGGUCUACUGGAAGUCGAAUCUUCCGCCAUCUUGGGCCUAGUAGGUUCUAACCAGUUUUUGUCGAAUCCCUCCUGUCUCAUGUGGGGUGAUGUUGGCCAUUCAAAAAGCCCUAAAAGGGUUAGGAUGCAAACAGAAACAUGAUUUACUCUUCCCUCUUUCUCCAAUCUUCAGGGCUGGGGAAUCAAUUUAGGGAGACUGCCGCCUCUCAAGGUUGCUUCUCUCUAGGCAGUUGAGGGGAAACCAAGAGCAGUGGAGCUGCUUGGUGGGGGGAGGCCGGCACCAGGAGCCAUCCUCUGUCACCUGGGGUUAACUGGGGUAGGGGGUGCUCCCAGCCCUGGGGCUCAUCCCCUUCCCUCUCCUUAAGUUCAUAAGAGCUGAUGUCAAUUUGGGCUUAACCUUUAACUCUUUCCACUUCUUACUUCCAGACAAAUUAGUUGAUCAAUAGCUGAUUUGAUCCUGAUCAUUUAGCCACAGAUUGAAACUUUUUCCAUUUCAUCAGUCUCACUUUUCUUUUUUUUCUUUUCUGCUUAGUUUGGGUUGAAUAGACACAGCUCUUUUCCUUAUUGCAUGCUUUAUUUUUUUGUGCUUUAAAACUGUUCUCACGGUGACAAUUCCUUCCAGAUGCACCUGUAACUUUCCAUUCCUCAUUUUCUCACCACUUUCAAAGUAAAUGUUAUUUCUACAUUGGUUACUUUUGUAAUUUUGCCUCUUAUUAGUGCUUUCAAGAUUCUCACGGGUGUUAUGCUUAUUGGUUAUUAUGGAGUUGACAACGUGUGAACAAUUACUUGGGCACAAGGAUGUCAACACAGUUGAGUCAUGGACUGUAUUGUUCACCAUGGCAGGUCUCAAAUGACCUUUCACUAUAGUCGGUGCCAUCUGUUGGUGGAGGGAAGUGUUGACAUUCUUUUUUCUGGAGUUUUUCUUUUUGUGCAUCUAUAGACAUUGAAAUUUAAGUGGAAAAGCUUCUUUAUACAGAUUCUUCUGUGGCUUUAAAAGUAAUUCAUUAUAGGGGGGUGGAGGAGGGAUGGAUUGGGAGUUUGGGAUUAGCAGAUGCAAACUAUUAUAUAUAGAACAGAUAAACAACAAG
Aethalodelphis obliquidens (Pacific white-sided dolphin) is the source of this 3487-nucleotide long non-coding RNA. RefSeq lists it as uncharacterized. The record is from RefSeq and is a predicted model, not a curated record. The transcript is spliced from 4 exons. NCBI's taxonomy places the organism in Eukaryota, Metazoa, Chordata, Mammalia, Artiodactyla, Delphinidae.